This 440-nucleotide ribosomal RNA is filed under the name uncultured bacterium. RNAcentral's name for it is "partial 16S ribosomal RNA". It matches the Rfam family "Bacterial small subunit ribosomal RNA", at positions 338 to 795 of the family's 1533-position model. The record is from RNAcentral.
CCUACGGGAGGCAGCAGUGGGGGAUAUUGCACAAUGGGGGGAACCCUGAUGCAGCGACGCCGCGUGGGUGAAGAAGGGCCUCGGCGCGUAAAGCCCUGUCAGCAGGGAAGAAAAGGACGGUACGUGAAGAAGAAGCCCCGGCGAACGACGUGCCAGCAGCCGCGGUAAUACGGAGGGGGCAAGCGUUAUCCGGAUUUACUGGGUGUACAGGGGGCGCAGACGGCGCUGCAAGCCAGGAGUGAAAGCCCGGGGCCCAACCCCGGGACUGCUCUUGGAACUGCGUGGCUGGAGUGCAGGAGGGGCAGGCGGACUUCCUGGUGUAGCGGUGAACUGCGUAGAUCUCAGGAGGAACCCCGGUGGCGAAGGCGGCCUGCUGGACUGCAACUGACGUUGAGGCCCGAAAGCGUGGGGAGCAAACAGGAUUAGAUACCCUUGUAGUC